AAAGGCCCGUGUGGAUGGAGCGACGUUUGACUGCGUUAACUAUGGAGUCGGGUUGUUUGAGAAUGCAGCCCAAAGUUGGUGGUAAACUCCAUCUAAGGCUAAAUACUGGCACGAGUCCGAUAGCGAACAAGUACCGUGAGGGAAAGUUGAAAAGUACUCUGAAGAGAGAGUUAACAGUGCGUGAAACCGCUUAGAAGCAAACGGGUGUAGUCAAGCUGCAAGCCUUAAGAAAUAGGUUGGUCAGAAUGGCGUGAGUCUGAGCACAUAGAGCUGCCAGGUGGGUUCGACUAUAUGUCGUGUUCGGCUCGCAAGGGUCGGAUUUGCGAAGCGUCUCGGCGCUGCAAGCCUGUCUGUCAGUUGCUCUACUGACCCUCUUAAUUUCUUUUGGCGUAUGUCACGACCGUCUUCGCUGCCGGUCUGCUCCAUUUAAACCGUUUCGUGAGUAGUUACGUGCUACUUGCGUUGCGGGGGCAGGUAGCUGGUCUGGCCUCGGCUGGAUUGGUGUAAUUGCUGAGUGGAGUGGUAUCUGUAACUGUGCAGUAAGACGGGGCUGGCGGUGCAUUGUUGCCUGGCGUGCUAAAGUGUGUCGGCGUAGUUGGCGUAUGGCUACUCGUUGCUGUUAAUAACAGCCUUGUGGUUGCCCGACUGCGGUUUGAUGCGCGGCUGCGCUGGGUCAAUCGUGCGUUGUGCCUAUAGUCUGUGGCGUAGUGGUAGACGAUCCACCCGA
RNAcentral lists this ribosomal RNA (727 nucleotides) under Atrispinum acarne. RNAcentral's name for it is "partial large subunit ribosomal RNA". It matches the Rfam family "Eukaryotic large subunit ribosomal RNA", at positions 215 to 647 of the family's 3401-position model. Lineage: Eukaryota; Metazoa; Platyhelminthes; Monogenea; Mazocraeidea; Microcotylidae. The record is from RNAcentral.